This 241-nucleotide ribosomal RNA is filed under the name Arabidopsis thaliana (thale cress). Lineage: Eukaryota; Viridiplantae; Streptophyta; Magnoliopsida; Brassicales; Brassicaceae. The record is from RNAcentral.
GAUGGGGUAUCCCUACAUAGCGGGUGGCACCCACGGCGAAUGGUUCAUCAAGUCUUCAAAAAAGAAUAUACACGAUUGCAUUGCAAAUACUAACGGAUGCGAUCAUACCAGCACUAAUGCACCGGAUCCCAUCAGAACUCCGCAGUUAAGCGUGCUUGGGCGAGAGUAGUACUAGGAUGGGUGACCUCCCGGGAAGUCCUCGUGUUGCAUCUCCUUUUAUGUUUAACCUUUUUUUUUUUGG